Molecule: transfer RNA, 65 nt
Filed under: Dipodomys ordii (Ord's kangaroo rat)
Lineage: Eukaryota; Metazoa; Chordata; Mammalia; Rodentia; Heteromyidae
Rfam family: tRNA
About the family: Transfer RNA (tRNA) molecules are approximately 80 nucleotides in length.
Source: Rfam by way of RNAcentral
GGUGGCUCAGUGGUAGGGCGCUUGCCUUGCAUACAUGAGGCCCUGAGUUCAAUUCCUCAGCACCA